UGGGGAAUUUUCCGCAAUGGGGGCAACCCUGACGGAGCAACGCCGCGUGGGGGAGGAAUGUCUGUGGAUUGUAAACCCCUUUUCUCUGGGAAGAAGGUCUGACGGUACCAGAGGAAUCAGCAUCGCCUAACUCCGUGCCAGCAGCCGCGGUAAGACGGAGGAUGCAAGCGUUAUCCGGAAUUAUUGGGCGUAAAGCGUCCGUAGGCGGUUUAUCAAGUCAGUUGUUAAAGACUGCAGCUCAACUGUGGGCGAGCAACUGAAACUGAUGAACUAGAGUGCGGUAGGGGUAGAGGGAAUUCCCAGUGUAGCGGUGAAAUGCGUAGAUAUUGGGAAGAACACCAGUGGCGAAGGCGCUCUACUGGGCCGCAACUGACGCUGAGGGACGAAAGCUAGGGGAGCGAAAGGGAUUAGAUACCCCCGUAGUCC
Molecule: ribosomal RNA, 426 nt
Filed under: uncultured prokaryote
Description: bacterial SSU rRNA
Rfam family: Bacterial small subunit ribosomal RNA
Source: RNAcentral